CAGAAAACGUAACAGCCCAGCUUUGAUUAAAGAUGACUUCCUUGUUUACUCAAGAAGUUCACCUUUCUAAAAGACAUGAAGAAAUAGUGUCCCAAAGAUUAAUGUUACUUCAGAAAAUGAAAAAUAAAUUCGGAGAUCAAAGCACAGAAAGGGCAUCUCUCCAAGCCACGGAGACUGCUUGUAGAAGGAACCUCCAGCUCUUGCAGAAACCUCAGUUUGGAACUGAAUGUGACAGCUCACACCUGUAAUCUUGGGAGGUGAAGCAGGACUGCUGUGAAUUUGAGUGAAGCCUGAGCCACAGAUUGAAACCUUGUUUGGAAAACAAACCCAAGUGCUUGGUCCUCCAAGAGCUCCUCAACACCACAUACCUGUAGGGUUUAUGCUCCAAGACUUCCCAGAAGACACCUGGAACCAUGGAUCACACCACAUCCUCUGUACAAUGUUCACUCGUAUUUGCAUUCUUGUAAUGAGACUUAACUUAUGAAUAAGACACAGAAAGGAAUCAGCAACAAUAAAGUAUGAUGGCUAUAUUUUAGUAAAAACUGGGUGGAUGUGGUUUCAGGGGCCUGU
RNAcentral lists this long non-coding RNA (570 nucleotides) under Rattus norvegicus (Norway rat). RNAcentral's name for it is "long non-coding RNA NONRATT010765". The record is from RNAcentral. Lineage: Eukaryota; Metazoa; Chordata; Mammalia; Rodentia; Muridae.